RNAcentral lists this transfer RNA (73 nucleotides) under Penaeus monodon (black tiger shrimp). RNAcentral describes it as "tRNA-Arg". It matches the Rfam family "tRNA". Rfam says of the family: Transfer RNA (tRNA) molecules are approximately 80 nucleotides in length. Their secondary structure includes four short double-helical elements and three loops (D, anti-codon, and T loops). Lineage: Eukaryota; Metazoa; Arthropoda; Malacostraca; Decapoda; Penaeidae. The record is from RNAcentral.
GCCGCGGUGGCCAAGUGGUUAAAGUACUGGGCUGCGACUCUCGUGGUCCCGAGAUCGAAUCUCGGCCGCGGCA